This is a long non-coding RNA of Rhinolophus ferrumequinum (greater horseshoe bat), 502 nucleotides long. RefSeq lists it as uncharacterized. The transcript has 4 exons. The record is from RefSeq and is a predicted model, not a curated record. NCBI's taxonomy places the organism in Eukaryota, Metazoa, Chordata, Mammalia, Chiroptera, Rhinolophidae.
GUCUGGAACCAAAUCCGCAGUAUCUCUGAGGAAGUACAGAAACAAAGACAAAUGAGGAAGACACGGUUGGGGCUCUUGAUGCACUCCACCUAGACGGAAGAGGCUCAUAAACAGGCUUGCUGAAGCUUCAUAAGGACUAGAUGGUACAUGCUGAGACAACACUGGAUCCUUGUUUGUGACACUGAAGGGGCAUUCUGGCAUUCUGAGCCCUAUUUAUAGCCUCUAACAGAGAGUUCAUCGUUUAAAACAAAGCUAGUCACUUAGCCAAAGACCUUACAGGAUAUGGCCCCUAGGACCCUCUUAUAUAAAAUUCUACAUGUGCCAUUCAUCUAUAAGAUGUAGUUUUAAAAAGAGAAAAAGAAGAAGAAACUUUAUAUCCUUUGUCACAUUUGUCCUUUAAUGGAAGCAGAGGAUGUGGGAAGGAGAGUGGCCUCCAAAACAACCAAAAUGCUUACAUUUUCCAAAGUUUGUGCAAAUAAACAUGGACUCCUUUUGUAAUCAA